Molecule: long non-coding RNA, 1807 nt
Organism: Lycium barbarum (goji berry)
Lineage: Eukaryota; Viridiplantae; Streptophyta; Magnoliopsida; Solanales; Solanaceae
Exons: 3
Source: RefSeq, a predicted model, not a curated record
UGACCAAAUAAUUUCGACCUCACUUUUUGGUCGAAAAAAAAUCGACCACAUGAGGUCGAAAUUUUCAGAUUUUUUUUUUUUUUUUUUUUUUGAUUUCGACCUCAUGUGGUCGAUAUUUAAACAGAAAAUAAAAUUUCGACCGCAUGAGGUUGAAACUUAUUUUUGUACAAAUAAUAAAUGAAAAAAACAUUUUAAAAAAUUUAAUUAUAUAAAUAAAACAAUUAAUAAAAAAAAAGCAUAUUUCGACUGCAUGCGGUCGAAAAUUAAGUCAAAUUUGGUCAAAUCUGACUUAAUUAUUUCGACCGCACGCGAUCAAAAUAAUAAAUUUGAAAAAUUUGAUGUACUCCCCCAACAUCAAUCGUGCAAUUCUCACCAAAAAUACCAAAACCUAAUUUUAUCCCAAACUCCCACCCCCACCACACCCCUACCCCGCCGCCGACGCCCCAUCCCCACCACACCCCUCCCCGCCGCCGACGCCCCAUCCCCACCACUGCCUGUCCUCCGUUGCCGCCCUUGCUGUCCGCCAGAGGGGGGAACCACAUAAGCAAGUUGACUAGUGAUGUAGCUGGGGAGCUUAGUGAUACAUCUGUAAGUUGUGAGGAAACUAGAUCCAAUUCUCAGGCUAUUGCAUUUUCUCCAUUGGAGCAGCAAGUGCUGAAGAAGCCCCAGGUGAUUACAGUGGUUCUGAAAGUUCACAUGCAUUGUGAGGCUUGUGCUCACGAAAUCAAGAGGCGUAUACAAAGAAUGAAAGGCAAGAUUAUUAAUUUUGCUAUUAUUUUCUUCACUCUUUUUCUUUUAUUUAAUUAAUUUGGGAGUAGUAGGAGUACUAUUUUGAUUCAUUAUGCUGAUUUUCUGAUUAUGCUUUUGUUACACUUUUCAGCUGUAUUUGUUAAUUAAAGGACGUUUCUUUUCUCUUUUUCGGAUCUCUACAAUAACAUUGGAUACUUAAGGAUCUCUAUAUUCUAUAUAUGUACCUUUCUCAAUCCGUACAUUCUUUUAUUAGUUAGUAGGAAUAGAAUAUUCAAUUCUUAAAGAUUCUCUUAAAAUUCUUCAGUUUUGAGUUUAAUUCAAGCACAUGUCCUCCACUACUAAUGAAUCUUUGGAAUCAUUAGUAAUAGUAUUGACUGUUGGGUAUCAUCAAAAGUUGCAUAUAUGACUUAGGAAAUUGAUACCAUACAUAAUUAAUUAAUUAAUUUUCAUGGAAGAACCAGCAGGGGCACCAGCUAAAGAAGAAGCAGCAGCAACACAAGCUAAAGAAGAAACUGUUCAAAACAAGUUUAGGUAUUUUAUGAAUUGUGCUGAUAACAUGUUUUGCAUUUCGAUAAAUUGAUCUAACUUUACAAUGCAGGAUGUGUUUGCACCCUGUUUGAAAAGAUCAAUAUGAAAAUAUUGCUAUGUCACAAGAAGACGUAGUUCAUGCUCUUGUUGAUGAGGAUAAUGGGGAGGAAUCGGAUCAUGUCUGUAACACCCAACGUUGACUUUUGGAUUGUAAUAUUGCUAUGUUUUCUUGGAUAUGUAUUUUUUUUUUAUGAUAGUUUUAAUUCGAAUUAGAUGUACUUUUGAAGGUGAAUUUGAUUGUAGGAAGUAGUUUAUGGAUGUUUUAACUUUACGAUGUUUAAGUGUUUGAAUAUAGAAAGUAGUUUAUAGUUGUUUAACUUUACGAUGUUCAAGUGUUUGAAUGUAGUUUUAAGGAUAUUUAGAAGUACUUUAAAUUGAAACUUGAGGUUGAAUUUGAUUUUAGAAUGUGAAGUUUAUGAUUGUAGAAGUACUUUGAUGAAUUGGACGUGUUGAUGAAUUGCAUUGUUGA